UACAUAAGCAAGUAGGAUUUGGGUGCUGAAUGUGCGAAUUCCAAGUGGGUCGUUUUUUGUAAGCAGAACUGAGGCUGUUGGAUGAACCAAACGCCCGGUUGAGGUGAAUAUCGCUGACGCUCCUGAGAUGCCACAAAAGUUGUUGGUUAAUAUAGACAGCAGGACGGUGGCCACGGAAGUAGGCAUCCGCUAAGGAGUGUUUAACAACUCGCCUGCCAAAUUGACCAGCCCUGGAAAUGGAUGGUGCUGGAGCGUUGGACCUAUACCGGGCCAUCACCGCAAGCUGGAUCUCUGGCUAUGUUUGGUGGUGUG
This 312-nucleotide non-coding RNA is filed under the name Schistocephalus solidus. Its description in RNAcentral is "Eukaryotic large subunit ribosomal RNA". It matches the Rfam family "Eukaryotic large subunit ribosomal RNA", at positions 1083 to 1381 of the family's 3401-position model. Lineage: Eukaryota; Metazoa; Platyhelminthes; Cestoda; Diphyllobothriidea; Diphyllobothriidae. The record is from Rfam by way of RNAcentral.